UAACCACAAUGACACAAGUGAAAUACCGAUGUCAUCAUUUUCUUCAAUGAUAAUGAAUAUUAAAAUGUAAAUUUUUUAUAACGAGUCGGCCAGUUGCACGUACAAAGGUUUUUGUUUCCUGGGUGAGUAGGGCGCAUGACGUCCAUAUAAUAUACCAUAUACAAAUCACGUAACGAGAACGGAUUUUACCAAACUUCAAUAUUGGAAAUUGGAACUAUUGACUCGCACUCAUCAUGACUUUUGCAGUCUUUCUAUUUCUGUCGAUUACAAUUUCAGUUGCAACUGGACGGAGUGACAGGAGAGUUGCUUGCUUUGAAAGCUGUUUAAAAUUGCUUGAAGAAACUUCAACGUCAGUAAUGAUAUUAAGUGGUAGAGAAGUUCGGCGUUUGUUUGAGGAGAGAGAAUGUGCUUGCUUUCUUCAUAACGAUAGUAUCGACGAAUCUUUACGGGUAUUAGGCGUUUUUUAUGUUUAGAGAACAAUCGUUUGUUUUUAUGUCUGGCCAUAGCAAUGUUAGGAGAUUAAUCUUCUUGCUUAUCUCGAUUUUGAAAACGUCAUUAAAAGAGUUAUUAAGAGACUUCGUUUAUUAAAA
Molecule: long non-coding RNA, 590 nt
Organism: Xenia sp. Carnegie-2017
Lineage: Eukaryota; Metazoa; Cnidaria; Anthozoa; Malacalcyonacea; Xeniidae
Exons: 2
Source: RefSeq, a predicted model, not a curated record